GCAUUUUAACUAUGUAUGUUGGCUUUCUUGAAGUUCUAAAAGCUAGGUUCCUCUCCCAUUUGCUGCUGUUGCAUUUCUUAUAUUUGUAACAAUUCAUUUAUUCUUAGUCUGUCUCCGGUCGUGUCUAUUCCAGAUGAAUAAUCUGGAAUAUAUGGCUAGGAAAUUAAUGCUUUAUUAACAUGGAGCUUGGAAAGGAAUCUAAAAG
This 205-nucleotide unclassified non-coding RNA is filed under the name Hevea brasiliensis (rubber tree). Lineage: Eukaryota; Viridiplantae; Streptophyta; Magnoliopsida; Malpighiales; Euphorbiaceae. The record is from RNAcentral.